RNAcentral lists this ribosomal RNA (253 nucleotides) under uncultured bacterium. RNAcentral's name for it is "partial small subunit ribosomal RNA". It matches the Rfam family "Bacterial small subunit ribosomal RNA", at positions 26 to 285 of the family's 1533-position model. The record is from RNAcentral.
AGGACGAACGCUGGCGGCGUGCUUAACACAUGCAAGUCGAGCGGAAAGGCCCUUCGGGGUACUCGAGCGGCGAACGGGUGAGUAACACGUGAGUAAUCUGCCCCUAGCUCUGGGAUAGCUCCGGGAAACCGGGAUUAAUACCGGAUACGACCACCUUAGACAUCUGUCGUGGUGGAAAGGAUUCCGGCUAGGGAUGGGCUCGCGGCCUAUCAGCUUGUUGGUGGGUAACGCCUACCGAAGGCGACGACGGGUA